GAAAUGCGAUACGUAAUGUGAAUUGCAGGAUUCAGUGAAUCAUCAAAAUCUUGAACGCACAUGGCGCCCUCGAGUCUCCGGAUUCUGGGGCAUACCUGUUUGAGUGUCACUUACCCCUCCUCACAACCACACGGCUUCGUGCCGCGUGCUCUUGUGGACGUUGACCGUUGUGCGACGCCUCGCGGCAGAGCACAUCGGUUUAAAAAGAGCGGUGAGAAGUUGCUGGACAACUCCUCGAACAAUGGCUGGGUAAGUUCUUCGGAACAAACUAGCUUUUGGUCUUGGGCUCAAGCUGUCUGCAGCAUCUUGCCUGCGCAGGAUUGCAGCAUCGGUGCGGUGUGUGAAGACCCUCGGGUCGGAUCGCCCGUCUGGCGCGGCAACGCAAACCCGUUGACCUCAA
This 400-nucleotide unclassified non-coding RNA is filed under the name uncultured fungus. Its description in RNAcentral is "sequence contains ITS1". The stretch from base 1 to 109 matches the Rfam family "5.8S ribosomal RNA", at positions 50 to 154 of the family's 154-position model. Lineage: Eukaryota; Fungi. The record is from RNAcentral.